GCAAUUAAGAUAAAUUGAAACUGACGUAGUCAUACUCGUUCUGCGGCUACAAAAGAAUUGGUUCAGGAGUUGCAAGUUGGUAGUCACAAUGAAAGUUGUAGCUGUUAUAACUAUUCUGGUGAUCAUAUCAUCACUGUCUCACCAAAAAAUAUACGACUCUGGUCUAUUGAUGUUGAAAUCCCAAUUGCAAGAAAAGAUGUUAGAGGUUCUACAAGAUUUGCUCAAGACAGGGCAAACGUUCACAGCCAAAGAAUUCGAGGAUAAGAUUCCUGAAAUAGCAGUGAUGGCAGGAUUCAGCAUACAUAGUCUUGGAUACAUAUCUAUGGACGAAUUUCAAAUGAUUGUUAAGGAAAUAGAAAGAUCUCCAGAGUUUGUUUCCAGAUGGAAAAAUAUACUAAGAAUAAAUAAAAAAAUAUAUACUAAGAAAGAUAUUGCUUCGAGGUGUGCUUUUUGCAACUCCUAACUGAUAUUUUAAGAUAAGGAUGUAUUAGUUGGCUGCAUGCAUGAUACACAACAUAAUAGUACAUAAUAUUAAUUUGUUGACAGCUUUUUAGUCAAUACAAACAAAUAUCUUUAUUUAAAAUCCUUCUUAUACAUGUUAAGUAUUGUAUAUAUUUAGUAGAAAGAACUGUCAUUUCUGUGUUCCUGUCAUUUACAAGAAAUUGGGUUUGAUUCUACCCCAUGUGAGCCUGUUGUUGUAAGUUUCUGUUAACCUUAUGCUUAAAGAAAAUACUUUUGAAUUAAGAAGUCGGUUUAGAAUAAUCAUCCUAGUCUCGUUAAAACUCCAACUGAUUACGAUUUGUUUAAGUUUACUAUUUACAUUAUACUUGCUGUAAUAGUGUGCUUUAUUUGUGAGUCAUGAUACAACGGUUACUGUAGCUGGUUAUAAAUAUAGAUCAAAAUGAAUACUCCACCUUUAUUGUCUGUUAUUCACACGAUUCAUAAUUUUAUAACAAAACAUUACAGGUUCUUACAUAAAUUAUUGACAAGUCGUCUAGUCGAGUGAAAAAGUGUGA
Molecule: long non-coding RNA, 1016 nt
Organism: Macrosteles quadrilineatus (aster leafhopper)
Lineage: Eukaryota; Metazoa; Arthropoda; Insecta; Hemiptera; Cicadellidae
Exons: 3
Source: RefSeq, a predicted model, not a curated record